ACCCAAGUCACAGGCAGUCACUUAACCAACUGAGCCAUUCAGGUUCCCCAACAGCACACAUUCUAUACUUUAAUUCAUUUUUUUCCUUUUGUAGCACAUCAUCAUCAAUAGUUGUGAUGCAGUCUUUUAUUUCCUCAAGGCUGCCAAACAGGAGGUGAUACAAACAUAAAGUUUGUGAUGUAUUCUCACAUGAAGAAACUGCAAACAACCCUUUUGGAAGUUUAAUUUCCUUUUAAGUCAUCCUGCACACUUUGAUUUUAGAAAGUUACUUGAAAAAGUCUUCCAUGUUAUCCUGAUUAAUAAGACACUGAAUUAGACACUGAAAGGAGGAUGGAUGAAAAUACAGCUGGAGAUCCUCAUCUGUGAAAGAUGUGUCCAUAAGAUAGCCUGAAGAAGGGCUGGAUGAACUUGGGUGAUGUGGAAGUCCCGCUCUUGGAUCUGCUGAUGACACAGGCAAGGAGGGGAAGUAGAAUGACGGAUGAAGCCUGCCCUCAACAUUAAAAUUUAUCAUUCUAAGCUCCAGCACUGGACUGAACCCACAGGAUUACAUUUAGGCAAAGUGAAUACAAACCACGCAAGUUCAAGAUGAGGGAGACAUGAAUUGACUGCAGUUCAUGUAAUCUGGGGAUUUUAAUUGACCACAGAGUUUUAUACGUACCAACACCUUGAUGUAGAAGCAACACCCAUUCUCUUUCCCCUCCACCCCAACAAAUCCCCCCCAAGAAUUCACCUCUGUACAAUCUUUGGCUGCAUUAGAAAGGUGUGUACUCAGAUCACAGGAAGGGUUGAGACUACUGUACUCUGAAUUGAUUGACAACUGUAGUGUUAUGUCCAGUUUUGACACUGACAAAUCUGAUGUGUCUAUAGUGGGAGAGACAGACCGUAUGGAGGGCCAGAAACCAUGUCAUUUGAAGAGGAGUUGAGGAACUGGGGAUAUAUUCUGAAGAAGGAAAGUCUCAAAGGCUCACCUAUCCAUACAUUUGAAGAAGUAUAGUACAACCGUUAUAGGUAUGGACUCUGGUGCCAGAUGGCCUGGGUUCAGUCAUCUUCAGGAUCUAGUGGAGAUGGGUAUCGAAUGCUGACGUUCUUUGGGAAGAGUCCUUCAAAGUCCCUCAAAUGAGAGGACUGUGCCAUGUCAGAUUCAUUUUGUAUGUCUAACAGGCCUGACACAUCCUUGGUGUUUAAUAAAUGUUUUAGCGCUCCUUUAUGAUACACAGAGAACUAAGGUCUCAGAAGCAAAUUACAAAGACAGUACCUACCCACACUGGUCAAGCACCUGGUAGCAGCUGGAAGGCAAAUAACAGGCAGCUUCUCACUGCCUUCCCCACAGCUGGCCAUGGUUGUCAUGAAAAUGAUGUGGUGAGUUGAAAUCAUAGUUGCCUCCUGGCAACUGAACAAGGAGGCAGCUUGAGUGAGGGGCCCUGGACCCUUGUGACAAAGUCCACCAGAAAUGCAUCAUGCAAGACAAAAAGGUCAACUUCCUCUGAGGCGUAAUGAAACCCAGCCUCUGGGAUAGAGAGCUCCUCCAGGGAUCUUCCUCACCCCAGGGGCUUUCCUCUCGAGAGCAGGAGAUCCUGUAAAAUGGCCUCUUCCCUAUCCCUCAGAGUUAACAUCUUUGAUUGCUGCGUAUCUCUAUUGGUUCACGGGAUUUCUGGACACUCAACAAUGAUGAAGACACCAUGGUAAAACAGAGAAAGACCCAACGAGGUCAUCUAGUCCAUCCUGACUUAAGGCAA
Molecule: long non-coding RNA, 1736 nt
Organism: Canis lupus familiaris (dog)
Lineage: Eukaryota; Metazoa; Chordata; Mammalia; Carnivora; Canidae
Exons: 3
Source: RefSeq, a predicted model, not a curated record